This 449-nucleotide ribosomal RNA is filed under the name uncultured bacterium. Its description in RNAcentral is "bacterial SSU rRNA". It matches the Rfam family "Bacterial small subunit ribosomal RNA", at positions 29 to 524 of the family's 1533-position model. The record is from RNAcentral.
AGCGAACGCUGGCGGCAGGCUUAACACAUGCAAGUCGAGCGGGCGUAGCAAUACGUCAGCGGCAGACGGGUGAGUAACGCGUGGGAACGUACCUUUUGGUUCGGAACAACCCAGGGAAACUUGGGCUAAUACCGGAUAAGCCCUUACGGGGAAAGAUUUAUCGCCGAAAGAUCGGCCCGCGUCUGAUUAGCUAGUUGGUGAGGUAACGGCUCACCAAGGCGACGAUCAGUAGCUGGUCUGAGAGGAUGAUCAGCCACAUUGGGACUGAGACACGGCCCAAACUCCUACGGGAGGCAGCAGUGGGGAAUAUUGGACAAUGGGCGCAAGCCUGAUCCAGCCAUGCCGCGUGAGUGAUGAAGGCCCUAGGGUUGUAAGCUCUUUGUGCGGGAAGAUAAUGACGGUACCGCAAGAAUAAGCCCCGCUAACUUCGUGCCAGCCGCCGCAGUAAU